AUGAACGCUGGCGGCGUGCCUAAUCCAUGCACGUCGAGCGAACGGACGAGAAGCUUGCUUCUCUGAUGUUAGCGGCGGACGGGUGAGUAACACGUGGAUAACCUACCUAUAAGACUGGGAUAACUUCGGGAAACCGGAGCUAAUACCGGAUAAUAUUUUGAACCGCAUGGUUCAAAAGUGAAAGACGGUCUUGCUGUCACUUAUAGAUGGAUCCGCGCUGCAUUAGCUAGUUGGUAAGGUAACGGCUUACCAAGGCAACGAUGCAUAGCCGACCUGAGAGGGUGAUCGGCCACACGGGAACUGAGACACGGUCCAGACUCCUACGGGAGGCAGCAGUAGGGAAUCUUCCGCAAUGGGCGAAAGCCUGACGGAGCAACGCCGCGUGAGUGAUGAAGGUCUUCGGAUCGUAAAACUCUGUUAUUAGGGAAGAACAUAUGUGUAAGUAACUGUGCACAUCUUGACGGUACCUAAUCAGAAAGCCACGGCUAACUACGUG
This 496-nucleotide ribosomal RNA is filed under the name uncultured bacterium. RNAcentral describes it as "partial 16S ribosomal RNA". It matches the Rfam family "Bacterial small subunit ribosomal RNA", at positions 29 to 507 of the family's 1533-position model. The record is from RNAcentral.